GACGAACGCUGGCGGCGUGCUUAACACAUGCAAGUCGAGCGGACAGGCGCGGCGUUUGUUGGGUGCUCGAGUGGCGAACAGGUGAGUAACACGUGUGGAACCCGCCCUUGACUUUGGGAUAACUUCAGGGAACUGGGGCGAAUACCGGAGAGGAGCUCCUGCUGCGUGGUGGGGGUUGGAAAGAUUCGGCGGUUGGGGCUGGUCUCGCUGCUUAUCAGCUGGUUUGUGUGGUAGUGGCUUACCAGCGCUUUGACGGGUAGCCGGCAUGAGAGGGUGACCGGCCACAUUGGGACUGCGAUACGGACCAGACUCCUACGGGACGCAGCAGUGGAGAAUAUUGCAGAAUGGGGGGACGCCUGAUGCAGCGACGCCGCGUGCGGGAUGACGGCCUACGGGUUGUAAACCGCUUUCGCCUGUGACGAGGCGUGAGUGACGGUAAUGGGUAAAGAAGCACCGGCUAACUACGUG
Molecule: ribosomal RNA, 468 nt
Filed under: uncultured bacterium
Lineage: Bacteria
Description: partial 16S ribosomal RNA
Rfam family: Bacterial small subunit ribosomal RNA
Source: RNAcentral